AGGACCACAUCCAGCUGACCUAAAUUUGGCAGUGCCUCUUCAGUCGUUCCCUCCCUGAGCUUGGGUGAUGCAUCCAGCUCUCAGGGUGAAGGCAUGUUAGUGGUUCCUGUCUGAAAGCAGGGACCUGUAGCCACCUGAGCCACUUGUUGCUGGCUUCACCAGCAGCAGCCAGUAGCCCAGAUUCAGGGUGUGACUUGGAAUCGUGCUGUAGGAGCUCUUGAAUGCUACCUCCAGAGACAAAUCAUCUCCCUUUCCUGGGUGGUGGAAGGAUGCUUCGGUGCAGAGAAGUGUGUUGCUGACCAGACCUCCUCCAGAACCUGACCUGCUUCCCAGAGGGUUUCUCUGGGGGCAGAAGAUCUGGAAGCCAACAGAUAAUCUUAGCAAGAUGGAGAAAUUGUGAGGACACGCUCUAGGACCUUGAUAAGGUCGGGGUGCUGCCAAGACUGGAGUCACAGCUCCUGUCCUCCCUCCGUUAGCCCUUCUGUUCUGACGACUGAGCUGCUGUUGAGCAACAUUUGUGACACCAUUUCCACUUGUGAUUACUAUUUGGUUGCAGACCUGGCCAGCGAGUGCCACUGCUCAUUCCUAAUGCCAGCACCUUUAUUUCCUGUCCCUGAAACCUGAGCAAAUGAGGGGGUAGGAGAGAAGAAACAGGCGGAUGGUGCUCCUUGGGGAACCCAAUUUGCCAAGUGUUGAAGAAGUGCUGUGCUGAUGGUGGGGGGCUGGCCUUAAGCUGGUAAGCAACAGAGUGCAACUUGAUAUUUUGUAACAUGUGCCAUAAAAAACAUACCCUGGAAUUCCCUGGAUUUCAGUUGUCAAGGUAUUUCAGAGGAACUACUACAAGUCCUGAAAGGACAUGCAGAGCGUAAUUAUGAAUGCUUUCCUUCCUGAAUGACCAUAGAGGUUAUAAAUAAAAAAAAACAUAGUACAAUAGAUUAUUCUGUCUGUUGUGUUGUCAAAGUCACGGUUCACACAUUGUCAUUCGCAGCACUUAUCCAGAUUGAUUCUGAUGUCUCGAGAAGCUGGAUUUUACUACCUUAUGUACUCAGAUC
Cygnus olor (mute swan) is the source of this 1052-nucleotide long non-coding RNA. RefSeq lists it as uncharacterized. The transcript is spliced from 7 exons. The record is from RefSeq and is a predicted model, not a curated record. Lineage: Eukaryota; Metazoa; Chordata; Aves; Anseriformes; Anatidae.